Molecule: small nucleolar RNA, 95 nt
Organism: Malus domestica (apple)
Lineage: Eukaryota; Viridiplantae; Streptophyta; Magnoliopsida; Rosales; Rosaceae
Product: small nucleolar RNA R24
Source: RefSeq, a predicted model, not a curated record
CAAGCAGUGAUGAAAAGCUAACACGUAAGAAAAUAUCCCAAUUUGUUUGGGAAUUCUCAAAGCAAUACAAUUGUUUUGCUUGGUAUUUGAGCACU